AUUGAACGCUGGCGGCAGGCCUAACACAUGCCAGUCGAGCGGAUGAAGGGAGCUUGCUCCUGGAUUCAGCGGCGGACGGGUGAGUAAUGCCUAGGAAUCUGCCUGGUAGUGGGGGAUAACGUCCGGAAACGGGCGCUAAUACCGCAUACGUCCUGAGGGAGAAAGAGGGGGAUCUUCGGACCUCACGCUAUCAGAUGAGCCUAGGUCGGAUUAGCUAGUUGGUGGGGUGAAGGCCUACCAAGGCGACGAUCCGUAACUGGUCUGAGAGGAGGAUCAGUCACACUGGAGCUGAGACACGGUCCAUACUCCUACGGGACGCAGCAGUGGGGAAUAUUGGACAAUGGUCGAAAGCCUGAUACAGCCAGGGCGCGUGUGUUAAGAAGGUCCUCGGAUUGUAAAGCACUUUAUGUUGGUAUGAAGGGCAGUAAGUUAAUACCUUGCUGUUUUGACGUUACCAACAGAAUAAGCACCGGCUAACUUCGUG
RNAcentral lists this ribosomal RNA (484 nucleotides) under uncultured bacterium. Its description in RNAcentral is "partial 16S ribosomal RNA". It matches the Rfam family "Bacterial small subunit ribosomal RNA", at positions 30 to 507 of the family's 1533-position model. The record is from RNAcentral.